AAGGUUUUAGCUUAAUUAAAGUAUCUGUUUUGCAUACAGAAGAUAUGGGCUAGUGUCCUGUAAAUCUUA
Molecule: transfer RNA, 69 nt
Filed under: Nothobranchius vosseleri
Lineage: Eukaryota; Metazoa; Chordata; Actinopteri; Cyprinodontiformes; Nothobranchiidae
Description: tRNA-Ala
Rfam family: tRNA
About the family: Transfer RNA (tRNA) molecules are approximately 80 nucleotides in length. Their secondary structure includes four short double-helical elements and three loops (D, anti-codon, and T loops).
Source: RNAcentral